Molecule: ribosomal RNA, 253 nt
Filed under: uncultured bacterium
Lineage: Bacteria
Description: partial 16S ribosomal RNA
Rfam family: Bacterial small subunit ribosomal RNA
Source: RNAcentral
UACGGAGGGUGCGAGCGUUGUCCGGAAUCACUGGGCGUAAAGGGCGCGUAGGCGGCCUGAUAAGUAGGGGGUGAAAUCCUGCGGCUUAACCGCAGGGCUGCCUUCUAAACUGUCAGGCUCGAGCACAGUAGUGGCAGGUGGAAUUCCCGGUGUAGCGGUGGAAUGCGUAGAGAUCGGGAAGAACAUCAGUGGCGAAGGCGGCCUGCUGGGCUGUUGCUGACGCUGAGGCGCGACAGCGUGGGGAGCAAACAGG